UUUUCUACUUAAUGAA
Molecule: small RNA, 16 nt
Filed under: Arabidopsis thaliana (thale cress)
Lineage: Eukaryota; Viridiplantae; Streptophyta; Magnoliopsida; Brassicales; Brassicaceae
Description: ATSL255340
Source: RNAcentral